UAAGACAGGGGUCCGAGUGUGGAUGGAGAGGGGUGCAAAGCUCUAGACCCCACCGUGUUUUAGGGCACAGCACCAUCAGCACGAGGGCAGGUGGCCAGGAAGACUGUUUGAAGAGCACCACGUGAUGACCGACUGGGAGGCUGCGUGCGGCGUGAGUCACCCCGACCGGUGUGUUAUUAUCCACGUGAUGUAGGGGGUCUGGAAUGCGACUUAAAAGGCCCUAAUGAGACAUUGUUCAUAAUCAUAUUAACUGCUGCAAGUAACAUGGCACUGAAAAGUGAGGGCAGCCCAGUUCUGAUGAAAUCUCUGCUCUCUGGACACAAAUGAUCAAAUACAAGUGAUGUGCAAGCAACAUGAAUAAGUGAAAGGGCGUGCUGCUUCUUUCGAGAAAAAGCCACACAUUGCCCACUCUCUACCCUUGUCUCCUGCACCAUUUCCCAAACACAAUCACUAGGAUGAUUAUAAACAGCUUUCCCUAUUUCAUAUCCUCUUCGUUUUAACGAAAAUCUGAUCUUUUCUUGCCAUCCCUACCGUCUGACUUCAUACUGCACAGACAGGGGCCUAUCAUUGUUCCCUGUUUGGUCCUUGUUUCAGGAUCGGCAAGAGACAUGUUUACAGCCUACUGGGCAGCUGCCAAGACCUUCUUCAGCCCGGGGCUCUGGUUGGUAAUCAGUAGCAGUUGUUCCCAGCUCCGGCCCUAGACUGUGGUCCCAUGAGAUGAGCAGGGACUGUCUUCAAGGACGGCUUCCACUCAACCGUGGCUGAUGACGCCCAGACCUUUAUCUGCAGCCUGGAGCAGGCUUUCUGCACUCUUGAAGGUGGAGUUGGGUAAGGAGAAAAGAGCAAAGGAAAACAGAAGUGAAGAAAGAAUAGCAAAGGAGGCAGACAUCCCUGGGACCGUGUCUACCAAGAAGUUGUCAAGUAUUUCUUAGCUCCCUUCAAGACACUCACAGUAAUUUCAGAACACACGCACAUACACACACACUUUCUAGGCUCAGCUGUUGAACAGGUACAUGAUUUGGGGGUAUAGAAAGUUUCCUUAGCAAAAAAUAAAUAAAUAAAGGAAAAAUGUGUGAGGGUGCUU
RNAcentral lists this long non-coding RNA (1084 nucleotides) under Oryctolagus cuniculus (rabbit). Its description in RNAcentral is "lncRNA (ENSOCUG00000031607.1)". The record is from RNAcentral. Lineage: Eukaryota; Metazoa; Chordata; Mammalia; Lagomorpha; Leporidae.